UCGAGUAAACCCUGCGCUGGCUUGACUUACAAAACCCAAACUCCAAAGCCUAAGACUAUUCACAGGGAUUGUAGUAAGGAAAUGAGGUAUAGUAUUCAAAACAACUUACUAAAACUUCGCUUCCGUUACCGCCCAAUGCGUAUUGUGUUUACACUAGGUUAACCCUUGGUGUUUCAGUUUUCUUCUUACACCGUAUCUAGAUACUUCUUCGUUAAGGUACCUAUGAUAUUCUAAGAUCACAAAGUCUAUUGAAUUGUAAUCCCCUGUAAAUUGAUUCAUGGGAUUUUUCGCUAGAUAUUUGAAGCCAAUCGUACUCUAUCUCAAUCUACUUUACAUUUUCUAUGAGUUCAAUCCUAUUCUAUAUCCACUGUGUGCUAACUUACU
Molecule: non-coding RNA, 384 nt
Organism: Schizosaccharomyces pombe (fission yeast)
Lineage: Eukaryota; Fungi; Ascomycota; Schizosaccharomycetes; Schizosaccharomycetales; Schizosaccharomycetaceae
Source: the annotation of a GenBank genome assembly